GAUGAACGCUGGCGGCGUGCUUAACACAUGCAAGUCGAACGGAAAGGCCCAAGCUUGCUUGGGUACUCGAGUGGCGAACGGGUGAGUAACACGUGGGUGAUCUGCCCUGCACUUCGGGAUAAGCCUGGGAAACUGGGUCUAAUACCGGAUAGGACCACUUCUUGGAUGUUGUGGUGGAAAGUUUUUUCGGUGUGGGAUGAGCUCGCGGCCUAUCAGCUUGUUGGUGGGGUAAUGGCCUACCAAGGCGUCGGCGGGUAGCCGGCCUGAGAGGGUGUACGGCCACAUUGGGACUGAGAUACGGCCCAGACUCCUACGGGAGGCAGCAGUGGGGAAGAUUGCACAAUGGGCGCAAGCCUGAUGCAGCGACGCCGCGUGGGGGAUGACGGCCUUCGGGUUGUAAACUCCUUUCGCUAGGGACGAAGCGUUUUGUGACGGUACCUGGAGAAGAAGCACCGGCUAACUACGUG
This 467-nucleotide ribosomal RNA is filed under the name uncultured bacterium. RNAcentral describes it as "partial 16S ribosomal RNA". It matches the Rfam family "Bacterial small subunit ribosomal RNA", at positions 28 to 507 of the family's 1533-position model. The record is from RNAcentral.